GUACACGCUGUGACUAGCAUAUCAAUAAGCGGAGGAAAAGAAACUAACAAGGAUUCCCCUAGUAACGGCGAGUGAAGCGGGAAGAGCUCAAAUUUGAAAUCUUAAAGGGUUUCCCUUUACGAAUUGUAGUUUAAAGAAGUGUUUUCUGUUGAGGUUUUGGUAAAAGUUCUUUGGAAUAGGACAUCAUAGAGGGUGAGAAUCCCGUAUUUGACCUUUACUUUCAACUUUGUGAUACACUUUCAAAGAGUCGGAUUGUUUGGGAAUGCAGUCCAAAAUGGGUGGUAAAUUUCAUCUAAAGCUAAAUAUUGGCGAGAGACCGAUAGCGAACAAGUACCGUGAGGGAAAGAUGAAAAGAACUUUGAAAAGAGAGUUAAACAGUACGUGAAAUUGUCAAAAGGGAAGCGUUUGACACCAGUGUUGUUUUUCUGAAAAUCAAUUAAAGAACUGUUUAUGCUAAGCUGUUUAGACUUUAUCAGCUAUCUGUUUAGUUUUGAGCUUUUCUUUAAUGCACUUUUCAGUUAACAAGUCAACAUCAAUUUCUUUUGCUGUAAAAAAGCUUGAGGAAGGUGGCUUGAGAUUCGUCUUAAGUGUUUAUAGCCUCUUGCCUAUGCAGUCGGAGAGAUUGAGGUCUGCAGCGUAGAUCCUUCGGGGCUAAAUGCAUUUGUGCUAAGUUAUAGCAUUUUAUAGACAACUUGUUGACUAUGAUUUGUCCUGUAGCUUACUCGCUUAUGUUAUUUUACCUACGCUUAGGAUGUUGAAGAUGUAGCACAUCAU
This 774-nucleotide ribosomal RNA is filed under the name uncultured Neocallimastigales. Its description in RNAcentral is "partial large subunit ribosomal RNA". It matches the Rfam family "Eukaryotic large subunit ribosomal RNA", at positions 22 to 635 of the family's 3401-position model. Lineage: Eukaryota; Fungi; Neocallimastigomycota; Neocallimastigomycetes; Neocallimastigales. The record is from RNAcentral.